AUAUGCUUGUCCCAAAGCUUAAGCCAUGCAUGUCUAAGAACAAGCGAUCUCGUGAAUCUGCGAACGGCUCCGUAUAUCUGUUGCAACCCGCCUGAAACCGCUCCGGGAUGUUCCUACCCCGGGCAGCGGAUACCCAUGGUAAUUCUGUGGCUAAUACGUGUAAGCACAGUGUGAGGGCUACCGAAGGGUAGCCUGUGGCCUUGCAUGACCACAAGGCGCGGGCUCCGGCCCCCUGUCUGACGUCAGCAAGUGCCCUACCGGCCACUUUCUUGGCCGGAAUACCAGACGGGCUUCAGACCUAUCAACUUUGUACGCAGGGGAGAGUCCUGCUACGGUCACGACGGGUACAGAGGAUCAGGGUUCGAUCCUGGAGAGGUAGCCUGAGAGAUCGCUACUACUUCUAAGGAAGGCAGCAGGCGCGCAACGUUCCCAAUGGGGAUACCCUGAGGACGUGACGGGACAUAUCAAUGCCUCGCCCAUAAAGCGGGGCAAUUGAAAUGGGGGCUAUCCAAACCCUCCACCGAGUAACAAUUGGAGGACAAGUCUGGUGCCAGCACCCGCGGUAAUUCCAGCUCCAAUAGCAUCUAGUUAAGUUGCUGCAGUUAAAACGCUCGUAGUUCAAGCUGGUGCGUACGCCGCCCGCCUAGUAGCGCCCGGCCCGGGGCCACCCCUCUUCUGGGUUCGGGCCCUCCCCGGGUGUCAACGGCGGGAGCGCAGGCGUGCCACCACAGUGGUCGGAGCUACGCCGGCUGCGGUCCUUCAGUGGUCCGCUACCGGUCUCCGGCACUUUCCUUUGAGUAAAUGUGAGCGCUCAAAGCGGGUCACUUAGGCCCUUGCAACCUGCAGCAAAGAAUAAUAUGAUGGGCUCCCCCGGAUACGCCUUGCGAGGGGGAGCUAAUUGGUCGAUGGGCAGGAUCGGGGUGGGCCACAUGGCGGGGGUAGGGGUGAAAUCCGUUGAUCCUCGCCAGGUGAUCUAACGCGAAGGCAGCCCACAAGUACCUGUCUUUCGAUCAAGAACGAAAGUCUGGGGAUCGAAGAUGAUUAGAUACCAUCGUAGUCCAGACCCUAAACGAUGCCGGCUAUGGAUGGCCUUUCGUCCAUCCCGACCCAGCCCGAACCUCGUGGGAAACCAUAAGCGUUUGGGCUCC
This 1148-nucleotide ribosomal RNA is filed under the name Perichaena agaves. RNAcentral describes it as "SSU rRNA". It matches the Rfam family "Eukaryotic small subunit ribosomal RNA", at positions 26 to 1115 of the family's 1831-position model. Lineage: Eukaryota; Evosea; Eumycetozoa; Trichiida; Trichiidae. The record is from RNAcentral.